UAAGAACAUUAUUUAAAGUAAGACCUGCUCAAUGACAACUCAAAUAAAUAGCCGCAGCUUAUCUGUGCUAAGGUAGCAUAAUAAUUUGCUUUUUAAUUAAAAGAUAGAAUGAAGGGUUACACACUAAAAGCAUGUUUCUCUCAGACCUAAUUAACUUAAAAUUAAAGUCAAAAUACUUUUAAAUACAGCGGGACGACAAGACCCUGAUAAACUUAACAUUUAGUUGGGGAAACACGUUAAAAAGACUUUAACACUCAAAACUACUCAACUUUAAAAUAAAAUCAAGAUUAGUUACUACAGGGAUAACAGCGCUAUUUCUUUUAAGAGACCCUAUCUAAAAAGAAGUUUACGACCUCGAUGUUGAAUUAAUCACCCUAUAAAGUGCAACAGCUUAUAUAA
This 399-nucleotide ribosomal RNA is filed under the name Pholcus bimbache. RNAcentral describes it as "partial 16S ribosomal RNA". It matches the Rfam family "Archaeal large subunit ribosomal RNA", at positions 1929 to 2641 of the family's 2987-position model. The record is from RNAcentral. Lineage: Eukaryota; Metazoa; Arthropoda; Arachnida; Araneae; Pholcidae.